CUCGGUGACGAUAGCAAUAGGGACCCACCUCUUACCAUUCCGAACAGAGAAGUUAAACCUAUUAGCGCCGAAAAUACUGAAUUUAUUUGGGAAGAUAGGUCGUCGCCGGGA
This 111-nucleotide ribosomal RNA is filed under the name bacterium. The record is from RNAcentral. RNAcentral also lists the same sequence under 1 other name.